UCUGGUUGAUCCUGCCAGAGGUUACUGCUAUCGAGGUUCGACUAAGCCAUGCGAGUCGAAUGUAGCAAUACAUGGCGUACUGCUCAGUAACACGUGGACAAUCUACCCUUAGGUCUGGGAUAACCCCGGGAAACUGGGACUAAUACCGGAUAUAUCGCGGAGGCUGGAAUGCAUCGCGAUAGAAAGCUCCGACGCCUAAGGAUGGGUCUGCGGCCUAUCAGGGUAGUAGUGGGUGUAAUGUACCUACUAGCCUACGACGGGUACGGGUUGUGAGAGCAAGAGCCCGGAGAUGGAUUCUGAGACACGAAUCCAGGCCCUACGGGGUGCAGCAGGCGCGAAAACUUUACAAUGCUGGAAACAGCGAUAAGGGAACCUCGAGUGCCAGGAUACAAUCCUGGCUGUCGUAAUGCCUAAAAAGCAUUUCAUAGCAAGGGCCGGGCAAGACCGGUGCCAGCCGCCGCGGUAACACCGGCGGCUCGAGUGGUAACCGCUAUUAUUGGGUCUAAAGGGUCUGUAGCCGGCUGAAUAAGUCUCUUGGGAAAUCUGGCAGCUUAACUGUCAGGCUUUCAGGGGAUACUGUUCGGCUCGAGACCGGGAGAGGUGAGAGGUACCUCAGGGGUAGGGGUGAAAUCUUGUAAUCCUUGAGGGACCACCAGUGGCGAAGGCGUCUCACCAGAACGGAUCUGACGGCAAGGGACGAAAGCUAGGGGCACGAACCGGAUUAGAUACCCGGGUAGUCCUAGCCGUAAACGAUACUCGCUAGGUGUCGGCCACGGUGCGACCGUGGUCGGUGCCGUAGGGAAGCCGUGAAGCGAGCCACCUGGGAAGUACGGCCGCAAGGCUGAAACUUAAAGGAAUUGGCGGGGGAGCACUACAACGGGUGGAGCUUGCGGUUUAAUUGGAUUCAACGCCGGAAAUCUCACCGGGACCGACAGCAAUAUGAAGGCCAGGCUGAAGACCUUGCCGGAUUAGCUGAGAGGUGGUGCAUGGCCGUCGUCAGUUCGUACUGUGAAGCAUCCUGUUAAGUCAGGCAACGAGCGAGACCCA
This 1047-nucleotide ribosomal RNA is filed under the name uncultured archaeon. RNAcentral's name for it is "bacterial SSU rRNA". It matches the Rfam family "Archaeal small subunit ribosomal RNA", at positions 1 to 1054 of the family's 1478-position model. The record is from RNAcentral.